UACGUAGGAUCCGAGCAUUAUCCGGAGUGACUGGGUGUAAAGAGUUGCGUAGGUGGCAUAAUAAGUAGCUAGUGAAAUCUGGUGGCUCAACCAUUCAGACUAUUAGCUAAACUGUUAAGCUCGAGACCGUUAGGGGUAACUGGAAUUUCUAGUGUAGGGUUGAAAUCCGUAGAUAUUAGAAGGAACACCAAUAGCGUAGGCAGGUUACUGGGACGGUUCUGACACUAAGGCACGAAAGCGUAGGGAGCAAACGGG
This 255-nucleotide ribosomal RNA is filed under the name uncultured bacterium. RNAcentral's name for it is "partial 16S ribosomal RNA". It matches the Rfam family "Bacterial small subunit ribosomal RNA", at positions 524 to 776 of the family's 1533-position model. The record is from RNAcentral.